GCCUUCGUGGUGUAGUGGUCGUCUGCAUGCUCGACGCGUAACCGAGAGGUCCGUGGUUCGAUUCCCGGCGAAGGCG
Stegodyphus mimosarum is the source of this 76-nucleotide non-coding RNA. Lineage: Eukaryota; Metazoa; Arthropoda; Arachnida; Araneae; Eresidae. The record is from Rfam.